Molecule: transfer RNA, 76 nt
Filed under: Anaerolineae bacterium
Lineage: Bacteria; Bacillati; Chloroflexota; Anaerolineae
Description: tRNA-Glu
Rfam family: tRNA
About the family: Transfer RNA (tRNA) molecules are approximately 80 nucleotides in length. Their secondary structure includes four short double-helical elements and three loops (D, anti-codon, and T loops).
Source: RNAcentral
GGCGCAUUCGUCUAGAGGCCCAGGACGCCGCCCUCUCAAGGCGGUAACAGGGUUCAGAAUCCCCUAUGCGCUACCA